CUCUGUCUGAGAGCUGCUGGAGGUGCUGAGACGCUGGAGGACGACUAGGGAUCAACCAACAAGGAUUCCUCAACGUGUUUCUGGAGCGGAGGCGAGUUGGUAGAGGAGCCGUGAAUCUGGAGGAUGACCGUCACUCUACCAACAAGGAUCCUCGUCUAUCAUGGAUAUUUAACUGCAGUUUUGUGAGUAUCCCAACUUAACCAUGAAGAGGAACUGCAAACUGUAAGUCAUAAGUUUCUCAUUACUCUUGGGCACAUUGGUGUAUUUUGGCUUCCGGUUGAGUUAGCUCAUUACCUGAAGGUUGAUCUGAGUAGUAAGGAUGUUUUAUUUGUUCAUGGGUUACUUAGGUGUUUGGUUUAUGUUGGUUUUAAUGAUUUGUUAAAAUGGUUACAGGCUCCAAGUUAUUGUUGUAAGCUGGAGUAAUGGGUUGGGU
Molecule: long non-coding RNA, 433 nt
Organism: Gadus macrocephalus (Pacific cod)
Lineage: Eukaryota; Metazoa; Chordata; Actinopteri; Gadiformes; Gadidae
Exons: 3
Source: RefSeq, a predicted model, not a curated record